RNAcentral lists this ribosomal RNA (816 nucleotides) under Pseudoalteromonas sp. Its description in RNAcentral is "partial 16S ribosomal RNA". It matches the Rfam family "Bacterial small subunit ribosomal RNA", at positions 50 to 865 of the family's 1533-position model. Lineage: Bacteria; Pseudomonadati; Pseudomonadota; Gammaproteobacteria; Alteromonadales; Pseudoalteromonadaceae. The record is from RNAcentral.
ACCAUGCAAGUCGAGCGGUAACAUUUCUAGCUUGGUAGAAUAUGACAAGCGGCGGACAGGUGAGUAAUGCGUGGGAACAUGCCUUGAGGUGGGGGACACCAGUUGGAAACAACAGCGAAUACCGCAUAAUGUCUACGGACCCCAGGGGGCUUCUGCUCUCGCCUUUAGAUUGGCCCAAGUGGGAUUAGCUAGUUGGGGAGGUAAUGGGUCACCAAGGCGACAAUCCCUAGCUGGUUUGAGAGGAUGAUCACCCACACUGGGACUGAGACACGGCCCACACUCCUACAGGAGGCGGCACUGGGGAAUAUUGCGCAAUGGGCGCAAGCCUGAUGCACCCCUGCCGCGUGUGUGAAGAAAGCCUUCUGGUUGUAAAGAACUUUUUGUCACGAGGAAAGGUUAUAAGUUAAUACCUGCGAGCUGUGACGUUUCUGACACAAAAAACACCGGCUAACUCCCUGCCCCCACCCCCGGUAAUACAGAGGGUGCGAGCGUUAAUCUCAAUUACUGGGCGUAAAGCGUACACACGCGGUUUGUUAAACGAGAUGUGAAAACCCCGGGCUCUCCCUGGGAACUGCAUUUCUAACUGUGAAACUAUAGUGUGAUAUAGGGGGGGUAKAAUUUUACGUGUGUCGGUGAAAUGCGUAGAGAUCUGAAAGAAUACCGAUGGCGAAAGCGCCCCCCUGUGUCAACACUGACACUCAUGUACAAAAGCGUGUGGAGAAAACACGAUWAUAUACCCUGGGAKUCCCCCCCCCAAACAAUAUCUACUAUAAACUCUCAACCUCUCUUCUGUUUUUUUAAACUAUCACAUUAUAU